GAUUCUCUCAUGGGUUUGUUUUGUAUUAUGUGUAACAAACAGUAACUGCUCCCUCCGGAUGCUCCUUUGCAGGUAUAUACUUUCUUAUUAUUAUUAUUUUUAAUUAAGGAUAAUGAUUUUGAUUUUAAAAUAUACAAAAAGUUUUGACCAAAAUAUAUAUACAAAAAGUACAAAAGAUUUUCUGUUUUUUUCUUUCACUUCUGAUUUUUAUGAUUUACUAAAUAUCAAAUUUUUUCUUUUUACCAAAUAAUUUUCAAAUAAAUAGUUUUAAAUUUUUAAGUUAACCAAAAUCUUUUUUUUUAAUAUAAUUUUGUUGUAUCUAAGUGUUAAAUUAAAUACGUUGAAAAUAAACCGGACCUAGCAUCCAGUCCCUUUGUGGUCCGUAAGUUUGGUGUAAAAGUUCAACUUGUUUUCGCGUAUAAUAAAUUUAACGCUUGGAUGCUUCAAAAAUAUUAUUUUAUAAAUAUUAUUUUAAGUAAAUUGUAUUGAUUUUUUAAACUAAGGCUGUGAAUGUUUAGGAGAUUUUGAGUGGUUUAUAGAUUAUAGAUUUUAGUUUUUAAUUUUUGAAUUUUACAAAAAAAAUGAAAAUAAAAAUCACGUAGAAGAAAUCUUAAAAACUAUUUAAAUUAGAUUUUUGAUUUUGCUAACAAAUUGGUAAAAAAACUAUCUAAAACUAUAUUUUUACGAAAUCCAUUUUUUCAAAAUCUUCGAUGGCCAUAAAUUGAUUUUCUUAGAAUCUAAAACCAAAAACCAUUUAAAAAUUACAUCCAUUCAAGGUCUAAAAGUUAUCAUUAUACAAAAUGUUUUUUAAAAAAUAGCUUGAACAAUACUAAUAUACACCAAAGAUGGUAUAUUAAAAAUCUGUCGUUUUCUAAAACAAGCAGCAAAACAAAUCCGUCUUGAACAUAUCUUGUUAAUCCUCUGUUUAAUUAUAGCCAUCUCUUUAUUAAACUGCCAAAACCAGAUUGAUUCAUUAAAUUAAGCUCUGUUCCACUAUACGCUCUGUUUUGCUUGUU
RNAcentral lists this long non-coding RNA (1016 nucleotides) under Capsella grandiflora. RNAcentral describes it as "long non-coding RNA (CGRA_LNC001160)". Lineage: Eukaryota; Viridiplantae; Streptophyta; Magnoliopsida; Brassicales; Brassicaceae. The record is from RNAcentral.